RNAcentral lists this ribosomal RNA (253 nucleotides) under uncultured bacterium. RNAcentral describes it as "partial 16S ribosomal RNA". It matches the Rfam family "Bacterial small subunit ribosomal RNA", at positions 524 to 776 of the family's 1533-position model. The record is from RNAcentral.
UACGUAGGGAGCAAGCGUUGUCCGGAAUCAUUGGGCGUAAAGCGCGCGUAGGCGGCCCUGUAAGUCCGUUGUGAAAGUCAAAGGCUCAACCCUGGAACGCCGGUGGAUACUGUCGGGCUAGAGUCCGGAAGAGGCGAGUGGAAUUCUUGGUGUAGCGGUGGAAUGCGCAGAUAUCAGGAGGAACACCGAUGGCGAAGGCAGCUCGCUGGGACGGUACUGACGCUGAGGCGCGAAAGCGUGGGGAGCGAACAGG